GACGAACGCUGGCGGCGUGCUUAACACAUGCAAGUCGAACGAUGAAGCCUAGCUUGCUAGGUGGAUUAGUGGCGAACGGGUGAGUAAUACAUGAGUAACCUACCUUUAACUCUGGGAUAAGCCCGGGAAACUGGGUCUAAUACCGGAUACGACCAAUCUCCGCAUGGGGUGUUGGUGGAAAGCGUUAUGUAGUGGUUAUAGAUGGGCUCACGGCCUAUCAGCUUGUUGGUGAGGUAACGGCUCACCAAGGCGACGACGGGUAGCCGGCCUGAGAGGGUGACCGGCCACACUGGGACUGAGACACGGCCCAGACUCCUACGGGAGGCAGCAGUGGGGAAUAUUGCACAAUGGGCGCAAGCCUGAUGCAGCGACGCCGCGUGAGGGAUGACGGCCUUCGGGUUGUAAACCUCUGUUAGCAGGGAAGAAGAGAGAUUGACGGUACCUGCAGAGAAAGCGCCGGCUAACUACGUGCCAGCAGCCGCGGUAAUACGUAGGGCGCGAGCGUUGUCCGGAAUUAUUGGGCGUAAAGAGCUUGUAGGCGGUUUGUCGCGUCUGCUGUGAAGGCCGGGGCUUAACUCCGUGUAUUGCAGUGGGUACGGGCAGACUAGAGUGCAGUAGGGGAGACUGGAAUUCCUGGUGUAGCGGUGGAAUGCGCAGAUAUCAGGAGGAACACCGAUGGCGAAGGCAGGUCUCUGGGCUGUAACUGACGCUGAGAAGCGAAAGCAUGGGGAGCGAACAGGAUUAGAUACCCUGGUAGUCCAUGCCGUAAACGUUGGGCACUAGGUGUGGGGAACAUUCCACGUUUUCCGCGCCGUAGCUAACGCAUUAAGUGCCCCGCCUGGGGAGUACGGCCGCAAGGCUAAAACUCAAAGAAAUUGACGGGGGCCCGCACAAGCGGCGGAGCAUGCGGAUUAAUUCGAUGCAACGCGAAGAACCUUACCAAGGCUUGACAUAUACUGGACCGCAUCAGAGAUGGUGUUUCCCUUCGGGGCUGGUAUACAGGUGGUGCAUGGUUGUCGUCAGCUCGUGUCGUGAGAUGUUGGGUUAAGUCCCGCAACGAGCGCAACCCUCGUUCUAUGUUGCCAGCACGUAAUGGUGGGGACUCAUAGGAGACUGCCGGGGUCAACUCGGAGGAAGGUGGGGAUGACGUCAAAUCAUCAUGCCCCUUAUGUCUUGGGCUUCACGCAUGCUACAAUGGCCGGUACAGAGGGUUGCGAUACUGUGAGGUGGAGCUAAUCCCUAAAAGCCGGUCUCAGUUCGGAUUGGGGUCUGCAACUCGACCCCAUGAAGUCGGAGUCGCUAGUAAUCGCAGAUCAGCAACGCUGCGGUGAAUACGUUCCCGGGCCU
This 1347-nucleotide ribosomal RNA is filed under the name uncultured bacterium. RNAcentral's name for it is "bacterial SSU rRNA". It matches the Rfam family "Bacterial small subunit ribosomal RNA", at positions 28 to 1381 of the family's 1533-position model. The record is from RNAcentral.